UGAGGAAUAUUGGGCAAUGCCCGCAAGGGUGACCCAGCAACGCCGUGUGGAGGAUGAAAGCCGUAAGGUUGUAAACUCCUGUGAGGAGGGAUGAAUGAUAUGAUUUCGUAAGGGAUUAUAUUUGACCGUACCUCCAGAGGAAGCCCCGGCUAACUACGUGCCAGCAGCCGCGGUAAUACGUAGGGGGCAAGCGUUGUCCGGAUUUACUGGGUGUAAAGGGCGCGCAGGCGGGUUGGUAAGUCAGAGGUGAAAGCCUGCAGCUUAACUGCAGAACUGCCUUUGAUACUGCCAAUCUUGAGUUCGGAAGAGAGAAGCGGAAUUCCAGGUGUAGUAGUGAAAUACGUAGAUAUCUGGAAGAACACCAGUGGCGAAGGCGGCUUCUUGGUCCGUAACUGACGCU
This 400-nucleotide ribosomal RNA is filed under the name uncultured bacterium. RNAcentral describes it as "bacterial SSU rRNA". It matches the Rfam family "Bacterial small subunit ribosomal RNA", at positions 355 to 747 of the family's 1533-position model. The record is from RNAcentral.